Molecule: transfer RNA, 73 nt
Filed under: Camelus dromedarius (Arabian camel)
Lineage: Eukaryota; Metazoa; Chordata; Mammalia; Artiodactyla; Camelidae
Also listed under: 1 other name
Rfam family: tRNA
About the family: Transfer RNA (tRNA) molecules are approximately 80 nucleotides in length.
Source: Rfam by way of RNAcentral
GAUGGUGUAGCUCAAGCGGUAGAGUGCAUGCUUAGCAUACACAAGGUCCUGGGUUCAACCCCCGGCACCACCU